CCUACGGGGGGCAGCAGUGAGGAAUAUUGGUCAAUGGACGAGAGUCUGAACCAGCCAAGUAGCGUGAAGGAUGACAGCCCUAUGGGUUGUAAACUUCUUUUAUAUGGGAAUAAAAUGUUCCACGUGUGGGGUUUUGUAUGUACCAUAUGAAUAAGGAUCGGCUAACUCCGUGCCAGCAGCCGCGGUAAUACGGAGGAUCCGAGCGUUAUCCGGCUUUAUUGGGUUUAAAGGGAGCGUAGGUGGAUUGUUAAGUCAGCUGUGAAAGUUUGCGGCUCAACCGUAACAGUGCAGUUGAAACUGUGAGUCUUGAGUACAGGAGAGGUGGGCGGAAUUCGUGGUGUAGCGGUGAAAUGCUUAGAUAUCACGAAGAACUCCGAUUGCGAAGGCAGCUCACUGGACUGCAACUGACACUGAGGCUCGAAAGUGUGGGUAUCAAACAGGAUUAGAUACCCUGGUAGUC
RNAcentral lists this ribosomal RNA (460 nucleotides) under uncultured bacterium. Its description in RNAcentral is "partial 16S ribosomal RNA". It matches the Rfam family "Bacterial small subunit ribosomal RNA", at positions 338 to 795 of the family's 1533-position model. The record is from RNAcentral.